Molecule: ribosomal RNA, 482 nt
Filed under: uncultured bacterium
Lineage: Bacteria
Description: partial 16S ribosomal RNA
Rfam family: Bacterial small subunit ribosomal RNA
Source: RNAcentral
UGACCGCUGGCGGCAUGCUUUCCACAUGCACGUCGCCCGGCAGCGCGGGCUUCGGCCUGGCGGCGAGUGGCGAACGGGUGAGUAAUACAUCGGAACGUGCCCAGUAGUGGGGGAUAGCUCGGCGAAAGCCGGAUUAAUACCGCAUACGACCUGAGGGUGAAAGCGGGGGAUCUUCGGACCUCGCGCUAUUGGAGCGGCCGAUGGCAGAUUAGCUAGUUGGUGGGGUAAAGGCCUACCAAGGCGACGAUCUGUAGCUGGUCUGAGAGGACGACCAGCCACACUGGGACUGAGACACGGCCCAGACUCCUACGGGAGGCAGCAGUGGGGAAUUUUGGACAAUGGGCGAAAGCCUGAUCCAGCAAUGCCGCGUGUGUGAUGAAGGCCUUCGGGUUGUAAAGCACUUUUGGCGGGAACGAAAAGGACUGUGCCAAUACCACGGUUCGAUGACGGUACCCGCAGAAUAAGCACCGGCUAACUACGUG